GCUUAGAAGCAGCCACUCAUUAAAAGAGUGCGUAAUAGCUCACUGGUCGAGUGACUCUGCGCCGAAAAUUUAACGGGGCUAAACUAUACACCGAAGCUUGGGAUACAUCUAAUGUAUGGUAGGAGAGCGUUCUGUAUGGGGAGAAGUCGUAGCGAAAGCGGCGGUGGACUAUACAGAAGUGAGAAUGCCGGAAUAAGUAGCGAGAAUUAAGUGAGAAUCUUAAUGGCCGAAAGUCUAAGGUUUUUGGAGGAAGGUUCGUCCGCUCCAAGUAAGUCGGGAGCUAAGGUCAGGCCGAAAGGCGUAGCCGAUGCACAUACGGUUGAUAUUCCGUAACCAUCUGUAAUUUAAGCAAAGGGACACUUCAAAAGGGUGUGACCCGGGCGUUGGUUGACCCGGGCGUAAGGGACCGAAAUUAGAGUAGGGAAGCACACUUGGCUGAAGGCGAGAAAAGCUUUGCGUAUAGAAACAGAUGCCCGUACCGCAAACCGACACAGGUGGACAGGAAGAGAAUUCUAAGGCCAGCGGGAGAAGGGUAGUUAAGGAACUCGGCAAAUUGACUCCGUAACUUCGGAAUAAGGAGUGCUCGAAAGAGCCGCAGAGAAUAGGCCCAGGCGACUGUUUAGCAAAAACACAGGUCUCUGCCAAAUCGAAAGAUGAAGUAUAGGGGCUGACACCUGCCCGGUGCCGGAAGGUUAAGAGGAGGAGUGAGAGCUCCGAAUUGAAGCCCCGGUAAACGGCGGCCGUAACUAUAACGGUCCUAAGGUAGCGAAAUUCCUUGUCGGGUAAGUUCCGACCCGCACGAAUGGUGUAACGAUCUGGGCACUGUCUCAACUACCCACCCGGCGAAAUUGUAGUACCGGUGAAGAUGCCGGUUACCUGCGGCAAGACGGAAAGACCCCAUGGAGCUUUACUGUAGCCUGAUAUUGGGUUUCGGAAAUCUAUGUACAGGAUAGGCGGGAGACUAGGAAACAUGAGCGUCAGCUUGUGUGGAGUCGAUGUUGGGAUACCGCCCUUAGGUUUCUGGAAUUCUAACCUGCGGCCGUGAAUCCGGUCGGGGGACAUUGUCAGGUGGGCAGUUUGACUGGGGCGGUCGCCUCCGAAAAGGUAACGGAGGCGCUCAAAGGUUAGCUCAGCACGGACGGAAACCGUGCCUCUGAGUGUAAACGCAAAAGCUAGCCUAACUGCGAGGGUGACGGCCCGAGCAGUAACGAAAGUUGGAGUUAGUGAUCCGGCGGUAUGUGAAUGGAAAUGCCGUCGCUCAACGGAUAAAAGCUACCCUGGGGAUAACAGGCUGAUCUCCCCCAAGAGUCCACAUCGACGGGGAGGUUUGGCACCUCGAUGUCGGCUCAUCACAUCCUGGGGCUGUAUUCGGUCCCAAGGGUUCGGCUGUUCGCCGAUUAAAGUGGUACGCGAGCUGGGUUCAGAACGUCGCGAGACAGUUCGGUCCCUAUCUGUCGUGGGCGCAGGAUAUUUGAGGAGCUCUGUCCUUAGUACGAGAGGACCGGGAUGGACGUACCUCUGGUGCACCAGUUGUCAUGCCAAUGGCACGGCUGGGCAGCUAUGUACGGAACGGAUAAACGCUGAAAGCAUCUAAGCGUGAAGCCGACUCCAAGAUUAGAUAUCCCAUCGUAUAACGAGUAAGACCCCUUGAAGACUACGAGGUUGAUAGGCUGCGUGUGUAAGUGCCGUGAGGCAUUCAGCUUGGCAGUACUAAUAGGUCGAGGGCUUGACCA
RNAcentral lists this ribosomal RNA (1733 nucleotides) under human gut metagenome. RNAcentral's name for it is "bacterial LSU rRNA". It matches the Rfam family "Bacterial large subunit ribosomal RNA", at positions 1104 to 2925 of the family's 2925-position model. The record is from RNAcentral.